GACGAACGCUGGCGGCGUGCUUAACACAUGCAAGUCGAGCGGAGCGGCGAACGGGUGAGUAACUCGUGAGUAACUGCCCCCCUCUCUGGGAUAACAGUUGGAAACGGCUGCUAAUACCGGAUAGUGGGGGAUGACUCGCGUCCUAUCAGCUUGUUGGUGGGGUAGUGGCCUACCAAGGCGACGACGGGUAGCCGGCCUGCGAGGGCGACCGGCCACAUUGGGCUGAGAUACGGGCCAAAGCCCUACGGGAGGCAGCAGAGGGGAGUAUUGCACAAUGGGGGAAGCCCUGAAGCAGCAACGCGCGUGCGGGAUGACGGCCUACGGGUUGGAAACCGCUUACGGCCAUGACGCGGUAGUGGCAGAAGAAGCACCGGCUACCUACGUGCCAGCAGCCGCGGUAAUAC
Molecule: ribosomal RNA, 404 nt
Filed under: uncultured bacterium
Lineage: Bacteria
Description: partial 16S ribosomal RNA
Rfam family: Bacterial small subunit ribosomal RNA
Source: RNAcentral